This 71-nucleotide transfer RNA is filed under the name Marmota monax (woodchuck). RNAcentral describes it as "tRNA.Ala". Lineage: Eukaryota; Metazoa; Chordata; Mammalia; Rodentia; Sciuridae. The record is from RNAcentral.
GGGAUUGUGGCUCAGUGACAGAGCGCUUGCCUUGCACGUAUGAUGUACUGGGUUCGAUCCUCAACACCUCA